AUGUCACAAACCCAAAUAGAAACAUGACUACUGUUAAUACCUAAUUUUCCGGGGCAAACAUUUCUGCCUUCAAAUUUAGGUCAGUUUGCUGAGCCUGUGCAAGCUGACAUGUUGGCAGACACAAGGGCUCUACAGUCCUGGAAAUGAACAAUGAUUUUCAAAGGCAGCAAAUUAACAUAAAAAUCUUUGUGAUCAAAUUAUGAAUCAGUGGGUGAUAUAUAAAUCAUUUUUUCCUCUCAUUUCCAUCAUAGAUAGGUAACAGAAACCUUUAAGCCAAUAUUAUCACUUAAGUAGUUCCUCUUCCUCCUCAGUAUUUAUUUCUCAUAUGUAAUUUUACAGUUCAUAUUCUUAAAUUUAAGAUGCUCCAUUCUCUUACUCAGCCAUGGAAAUAGCACCAAGGCAGAACAGACGGAGGAUAUAAAAUUACCAACUUUGUGUGCAGUGAAGUUUACUCCUCUUGUUUUCUACUUUUCUAAGCAAAGUAAUGGAAAUAUUUAAGGUGUGAGAGAGAUAAGCAGCACAAAAAGACCUUGCAGAGCCUAUGCAGACAGCUGCCAACCAUUACUGCAUCACUAGUCUAAUUACAGCCACAUAUCUCAGCUGCAUAAAAAAAGCAGCACAAUAUUCCUACUCAGGUCUAAUGUCAAUGAAGUAUUUUAAAGUAUGGCUCAGGCAGUGAGCUUUUGGGGAAAAAAAAAAAAGAAAGGACUAGAUCACAAGUGAAGUGCUUCCUUCUCUUCAACCACCUCCUGAAAUAUCCAAGAUCCAUAAGCCAUUGUGUCUCUUAUUUGCUCAUGUCUACUUUGGUCUUUUCAAAUGCAUAUGCCAGAUAUACUGUGUUUGUGCUAAUUAAAAUCCAGGCAGCUGGGGCAUGAAACUGCUGGAAGCCAUAGGAUCUCUGGAGAACGAACACAACACAUUUUGGUCAAGAGAGAUUUCACUUACUUAUAUUCUCUCACUGAACUUCAGAAUUCUGAAUUUAAAGAAUAUAAAAUUUCAAAGCCAAUCAGUAUUGUGUGUAUAUUUGUGUAUGCACAUGUGCUUCUAAGAUAAUUCGCUCAUGCACUGUACUUCAAAUUCUUCAUCUGCCUGGCCGUAAGUAGCUGUACUAAGUUUUGUAGAUUUCAUUGCUUUAAAAGUCACUAAAAUACUUCACAACAAAUGAAAACAAUUAAUUAGAAUGAGAGGAGGUUUUCCACACAGGACCUAAUUAUUAAAAAAAAUAUUCUGUAUCACUGCUAAUGACUUCCAUUUUUAAAACCUUUCUAAAGUUGAAUUACAUCUAGGCUUGCACACAAAUUAAUUGGCUAGAGAAAGAACUUGUGAUCUAAUCUGCAACAUAUUACAGGGAUUCAGAUCUGAUUGAUAGACGGUGCUGCAGUAGUCAUAUUUUCCUUUCCCCUUUGGAAUAAAGCCAACUCAGAAGUGACAUCUAUGAAUUACUGGGCUUCCUGAAGGUUAAGUCACUUAGGGAAAAAAAUGUCGUUUACAAGAUGUAAAUCUGUUUUUCAAAUCUUACUUUCAUUCUAGGUUGAAUGCUCCUAAUGAUAUUGUAGGAGCCCCAAACAGAAACAGGGAUCACGGGAGAAUUGUUCGAUUCACAUGAGUAAAACUACUCUCCUGACAGAAGUUACAAAUUUAGCAAUGCCCAUACCUGGAUAUCAACAUGAAGUAGACUCUGAAUCUUGCAGAAACAGAGAAGGUUACUUUUUUUUUUAAAUCUUAACAAUAAACACUACUUUUGCAUUUGUGGCACA
Molecule: long non-coding RNA, 1757 nt
Organism: Pezoporus occidentalis (night parrot)
Lineage: Eukaryota; Metazoa; Chordata; Aves; Psittaciformes; Psittacidae
Exons: 2
Source: RefSeq, a predicted model, not a curated record